GCCGCCGUAGCUCAGUGGUAGAGCACUCCCUUGGUAAGGGAGAGGUCGCGUGUUCAAUCCACGCCGGCGGCACCA
RNAcentral lists this transfer RNA (75 nucleotides) under Tistrella mobilis. RNAcentral's name for it is "tRNA-Thr". It matches the Rfam family "tRNA". From Rfam's summary of the family: Transfer RNA (tRNA) molecules are approximately 80 nucleotides in length. Their secondary structure includes four short double-helical elements and three loops (D, anti-codon, and T loops). RNAcentral also lists the same sequence under 3 other names. The record is from RNAcentral. Lineage: Bacteria; Pseudomonadati; Pseudomonadota; Alphaproteobacteria; Geminicoccales; Geminicoccaceae.